RNAcentral lists this ribosomal RNA (319 nucleotides) under uncultured bacterium. Its description in RNAcentral is "bacterial SSU rRNA". It matches the Rfam family "Bacterial small subunit ribosomal RNA", at positions 85 to 422 of the family's 1533-position model. The record is from RNAcentral.
CGCAAGGGGAGUGGCAGACGGGUGAGUAACACGUGGGAACCUUCCCUAUAGUACGGAAUAGCCCAGGGAAACUUGGAGUAAUACCGUAUACGCCCGAAAGGGGAAAGAAUUUCGCUAUAGGAUGGGCCCGCGUAGGAUUAGCUAGUUGGUGAGGUAACGGCUCACCAAGGCGACGAUCCUUAGCUGGUUUGAGAGAACGACCAGCCACACUGGGACUGAGACACGGCCCAGACUCCUACGGGAGGCAGCAGUGGGGAAUAUUGGACAAUGGGCGCAAGCCUGAUCCAGCCAUGCCGCGUGAGUGAUGAAGGCCUUAGGG